Molecule: small RNA, 45 nt
Filed under: Vitrella brassicaformis
Lineage: Eukaryota; Vitrellaceae
Description: partial Cyanobacteria transfer-messenger RNA
Source: RNAcentral
AAUGGGGGUGGGAUGGCUUCGACGGGGCAUGAUGAGUGAGACGUA